Molecule: ribosomal RNA, 267 nt
Filed under: uncultured archaeon
Lineage: Archaea
Description: partial 16S ribosomal RNA
Rfam family: Archaeal small subunit ribosomal RNA
Source: RNAcentral
ACAGUCACACAUUAGAUACCCGCGUAGUCCUAGCCGUAAACGAUACUCGCUAGGUGUCGGCCACGGUGCGACCGUUGUCGGUGCCGUAGGGAAGCCGUGAAGCGAGCCACCGUGGGAAGUACGGCCGCAAGGCUAGAAACUUAAAGGAAUUGGCGGGGGAGCACCACAACGGGUGGAGCUUGCGGUUUAAUUGGACUCAACGCCGGGAAGCUCACCGGAUAAGACAGCGGAAUGAUUGCCGGGCUGAAGACCCUGCAUGACCAGCUG